This 725-nucleotide ribosomal RNA is filed under the name Bacillus sp. PSu5_19. RNAcentral describes it as "bacterial SSU rRNA". It matches the Rfam family "Bacterial small subunit ribosomal RNA", at positions 57 to 762 of the family's 1533-position model. The record is from RNAcentral. Lineage: Bacteria; Bacillati; Bacillota; Bacilli; Caryophanales; Bacillaceae.
GCAAGUCGAGCGAAUGGAUUAAGAGCUUGCUCUUAUGAAGUUAGCGGCGGACCGGUGAGUAACACGUGGGUAACCUGCCCAUAAGACUGGGAUAACUCCGGGAAACCGGGGCUAAUACCGGAUAACAUUUUGAACCGCAUGGUUCGAAAUUGAAAGGCGGCUUCGGCUGUCACUUAUGGAUGGACCCGCGUCGCAUUAGCUAGUUGGUGAGGUAACGGCUCACCAAGGCAACGAUGCGUAGCCGACCUGAGAGGGUGAUCGGCCACACUGGGACUGAGACACGGCCCAGACUCCUACGGGAGGCAGCAGUAGGGAAUCUUCCGCAAUGGACGAAAGUCUGACGGAGCAACGCCGCGUGAGUGAUGAAGGCUUUCGGGUCGUAAAACUCUGUUGUUAGGGAAGAACAAGUGCUAGUUGAAUAAGCUGGCACCUUGACGGUACCUAACCAGAAAGCCACGGCUAACUACGUGCCAGCAGCCGCGGUAAUACGUAGGUGGCAAGCGUUAUCCGGAAUUAUUGGGCGUAAAGCGCGCGCAGGUGGUUUCUUAAGUCUGAUGUGAAAGCCCACGGCUCAACCGUGGAGGGUCAUUGGAAACUGGGAGACUUGAGUGCAGAAGAGGAAAGUGGAAUUCCAUGUGUAGCGGUGAAAUGCGUAGAGAUAUGGAGGAACACCAGUGGCGAAGGCGACUUUCUGGUCUGUAACUGACACUGAGGCGCGAAAGCGU